Molecule: non-coding RNA, 113 nt
Filed under: Hymenobacter daecheongensis
Lineage: Bacteria; Pseudomonadati; Bacteroidota; Cytophagia; Cytophagales; Hymenobacteraceae
Also listed under: 1 other name
Description: SAM-I sequence
Rfam family: SAM riboswitch aptamer (S box leader)
About the family: The SAM riboswitch is found upstream of a number of genes which code for proteins involved in methionine or cysteine biosynthesis in Gram-positive bacteria. The SAM riboswitch acts at the level of transcription termination control. The predicted structure consists of a complex stem-loop region followed by a single stem loop terminator region.
Source: RNAcentral
AAUUUAUACAGAAGUGGCGAGAGAACAGGCUCCGUGACCCACUGGCAACCUUCGGUAAAGCGAAAGGUGCCAAUUCCUGCCCGCCCGGCCGUUGCCCGCGGGACAGAUAAGUU